This is a non-coding RNA of Potamilus streckersoni, 73 nucleotides long. The record is from the annotation of a GenBank genome assembly. Lineage: Eukaryota; Metazoa; Mollusca; Bivalvia; Unionida; Unionidae.
GCUCCAGUGGCCUAGUGGUUAGAACGUCCGCCUAGGAUGUGAGAGGUCAUGGGUUCGAUCCCCGGUUGAGUCA